GGACGGCAGAGUAACGCGUAGGAACGUACCCCGAACUGAGGGAUAGCCCACCGAAAGGUGGAUUAAUACCGCAUAUUAUUUUCGAAUCAAAGCCUUACGGCGGUUUGGGAGCGGCCUGCGUAUGAUUAGCUUGUUGGUGAGGUAAUGGCUCACCAAGGCGACGAUCAUUAGCUGGUCUGAGAGGAUGAUCAGCCUGACUGGAACUGAGAACGGUCCAGACUCCUACGGGAGGCAGCAGUAGGGAAUUUUCCGCAAUGGGCGAGAGCCUGACGGAGCAACGCCGCGUGCAGGAGGAAUGCCUUCGGGUUGUAAACUGCUUUUAACGGGGACGAUUUUGACGGUACCCGUAGAAUAAGGAUCGGCUAAUUCCGUGCCAGCAGCCGCGGUCAUACGGAAGAUCCGAGCGUUAUCCGGAAUUACUGGGCGUAAAGAGUUGCGUAGGUGGCAUGUAAAGCGAGUAGUGAAAGACUCCGGCUCAACCGGAGGUACAUUAUUCGAACUCACAAGCUAGAGCAUAGUAGAGGUACCUGGAAUUCCUAGUGUAGGAGUGAAAUCCGUAGAUAUUAGGAGGAACACCGAUGGCGUAAGCAGGGUACUGGGCUAUUGCUGACACUAAGGCACGAAAGCGUGGGGAGCGAACGGGGAUUAGAUACCCCGGUAGUCCACGCCGUAAACGAUGCUUGCUAGCUGUUAUCAGUAUCGACCCUGAUAGUAGCGAAGCUAACGCGUUUAAGCAAGCCG
This 741-nucleotide ribosomal RNA is filed under the name uncultured earthworm cast bacterium. RNAcentral's name for it is "bacterial SSU rRNA". It matches the Rfam family "Bacterial small subunit ribosomal RNA", at positions 100 to 871 of the family's 1533-position model. The record is from RNAcentral.